GGGCCUGUAGCACAGCGGUCAGUGCAGGGGACUCAUAAUCCCUUGGUCCUCGGUUCGAAUCCGAGCGGGCCCACCA
Molecule: transfer RNA, 76 nt
Filed under: Rhodanobacter sp.
Lineage: Bacteria; Pseudomonadati; Pseudomonadota; Gammaproteobacteria; Lysobacterales; Rhodanobacteraceae
Also listed under: 1 other name
Description: tRNA-Ile
Rfam family: tRNA
About the family: Transfer RNA (tRNA) molecules are approximately 80 nucleotides in length. Their secondary structure includes four short double-helical elements and three loops (D, anti-codon, and T loops). Further hydrogen bonds mediate the characteristic L-shaped molecular structure. tRNAs have two regions of fundamental functional importance: the anti-codon, which is responsible for specific mRNA codon recognition, and the 3' end, to which the tRNAs corresponding amino acid is attached (by aminoacyl-tRNA synthetases). tRNAs cope with the degeneracy of the genetic code in two manners: having more than one tRNA (with a specific anti-codon) for a particular amino acid; and 'wobble' base-pairing, i.e. permitting non-standard base-pairing at the 3rd anti-codon position.
Source: RNAcentral